UUUUGGUGUGAGGAAAUGAAGAGGAGAGGGUGGUAUUUAUAGAAUUGGAGAGGCUUGUAUUCUUAAUGAGUAAGUAUGAAGAGGGGUCUUUUUGCAAUUAGGAGUAACUUGAAAUAAUCUAGGGGGACUUCUAGGCAAUUUCAUUUAAGUUAUCUUAAAAAUAAUGCUAAAUGAAAAGUCAAGUGGAAAUGCACAUGGAAUAAGGGUAUGCAUGCAACACAUACAAUCCUAGCCAAUUUAAAGAGGGUAAUUUACUAUCAAUUAAGCAUAUAAACUUUCUAGUGUGAGAAAAUAAAUUCUUAUAUUACUAAAACUAAAUUCACGUAGAUCACAUAAUUUCACGUGUUCAAUUAUAUUAAACACAUGAAAUACAUUUUAGUUGCGCAAAUAGAAAAUAAAAU
Erythranthe guttata (spotted monkey flower) is the source of this 401-nucleotide non-coding RNA. NCBI's taxonomy places the organism in Eukaryota, Viridiplantae, Streptophyta, Magnoliopsida, Lamiales, Phrymaceae. The record is from RefSeq and is a predicted model, not a curated record.